This is a long non-coding RNA of Myotis brandtii (Brandt's bat), 1027 nucleotides long. RefSeq lists it as uncharacterized. The transcript has 2 exons. NCBI's taxonomy places the organism in Eukaryota, Metazoa, Chordata, Mammalia, Chiroptera, Vespertilionidae. The record is from RefSeq and is a predicted model, not a curated record.
CAGCUCCCUGUGGCUUCCAUUUGUGGUUUCCCUGUGGCUCCACCCACUCUCAGUUUAGGGAAGGGAACCAUGGACUCUGCAGGGUCAGGGAGGUACAGAUGGAUGAGACAUCUGGAAGGGUCACUGUGAGCCUCCAGAGUGACAUCAAAGCACAGGGUGUGCCUCUGGGGUGCCCUAAAGCCACAUGCGCCUGUUUGAUCAAGUGGCUACUUGCAUUCCCAUUGUAGUGGUUCUAUCAGAUAAAUGAACCUGGCUCUUGCCCGCAAGGCCUGGGAUGAGCAGAGCAGGCCCCAGGGCACCACGGUGGUCUGACCUAUUAGCCCGGCUUUUGUGUCCCUCUCCAGAGCCUGAGGGAGGCCACUCAGUUGCCAUCUAGAACCUAAAUCAAGUAGUGAGAGCAGCCCCAUCUUCAGGCAGAGGGGGUGGGAAAUGGCUGUGGCAGCCUUGUCCUUUCAGGGCCACAGGAACAGCACAAUAUUCCCAGGACUGUCUGAGUCUGUGUGUCACGGGAACCCAGGGGCUCACCAUCCAACCAUAGUGGAGUCUGAGUCAGGGAAGUUGCUCUGAGUACCCCACCUCUGUCAGCGCUGGCUUCCCUGUGCUCGGUACCAUCGCCACAUGUCUGUGUGGCCCUGAGAAGAGCUCCUGCAUGUUUCUAUCCCAGAUGCACACCGUGUCUUUUGGAGACGAGUCCCCACAGAGGGGACCCCCCACUUCUAGUGCAAGGACAGGUUCCUUGAGAGAAGGGACAUUUGGCUUGGCCACCAACAGACCCCUUAUCCUCUGCCAAGCUCACCUCAACCCCUGGCUGACAGAGCUGUCUAUACCUCUGGUCCUGGGCCACAGCCCUGAGACCCAUAGGCACACAGUGGCCGGAGCGCAGAGCCCAAGCAGCACACCCCAAGGUGGCACCAUCCCUGUAAGCCUGGCUGUCAGGCCGGAGUGAGGUGGUCCCCACCCUGCAGAGAGCAAAGACGCAAGAAGUCUGAAGCAGACUCAGGUUUGCUUUAUUAAAGAAUUGAUUUUU